RNAcentral lists this ribosomal RNA (497 nucleotides) under uncultured bacterium. RNAcentral's name for it is "partial 16S ribosomal RNA". It matches the Rfam family "Bacterial small subunit ribosomal RNA", at positions 28 to 507 of the family's 1533-position model. The record is from RNAcentral.
GAUGAACGCUGGCGGCGUGCCUAAUACAUGCAAGUCGAGCGAACGGACGAGAAGCUUGCUUUUCUGAUGUUAGCGGCGGACGGGUGAGUAACACGUGGAUAACCUACCUAUAAGACUGGGAUAACUUCGGGAAACCGGAGCUAAUACCGGAUAAUAUUUUGAACCGCAUGGUUCAAAAGUGAAAGACGGUUUUGCUGUCACUUAUAGAUGGAUCCUCGCUGCAUUAGCUAGUUGGUAAGGUAACGGCUUACCAAGGCAACGAUGCAUAGCCGACCUGAGAGGGUGAUCGGCCACACUGGAACUGAGACACGGUCCAUACUCCUACGGGAGGCAGCAGUAGGGAAUCGUCCGCAAUGGGCGAAAGACUGACGGAGCAACGCCGCGUGAGUGAUGAAGUUCUUCGGAUCGUAAAACUCUGUUAUGAGGGAAGAACAUAUGUGUAAGUAACUAUGCACAUCUUGACGGUACCUAAUCAGAAAGCCACGGCUAACUACGUG